This 429-nucleotide ribosomal RNA is filed under the name uncultured bacterium. RNAcentral describes it as "bacterial SSU rRNA". It matches the Rfam family "Bacterial small subunit ribosomal RNA", at positions 917 to 1344 of the family's 1533-position model. The record is from RNAcentral.
GGGCCCGCACAAGCAGUGGAGCAUGUGGUUUAAUUCGAAGAUACGCGCAGAACCUUACCAACACUUGACAUGUUCGUCGCGACUCUAAGAGAUUAGAGUUUUCGGUUCGGCCGGACGAAACACAGGUGCUGCAUGGCUGUCGUCAGCUCGUGUCGUGAGAUGUUGGGUUAAGUCCCGCAACGAGCGCAACCCUCACUUUUAGUUGCCAUCAUUAAGUUGGGCACUCUGAAAGAACUGCCAGUGAUAAGCUGGAGGAAGGUGGGGAUGACGUCAAGUCCUCAUGGCCCUUACGUGUUGGGCUACACACGUGCUACAAUGGUAUCUACAACAGGAAGCAAGACUGCGAAGUUUAGCAAAUCCUUAAAAGAUACCUCAGUUCGGAUUGCACUCUGCAACUCGAGUGCAUGAAGCUGGAAUUACUAGUAAUCG